Molecule: transfer RNA, 73 nt
Organism: Camelus ferus (Wild Bactrian camel)
Lineage: Eukaryota; Metazoa; Chordata; Mammalia; Artiodactyla; Camelidae
Rfam family: tRNA
About the family: Transfer RNA (tRNA) molecules are approximately 80 nucleotides in length. Their secondary structure includes four short double-helical elements and three loops (D, anti-codon, and T loops).
Source: Rfam
GAGAGUAUAGCUUGAGUGGUAGAGUACAUGCUUAGCAUGCAUGAGGUCCUGGGUUCAAUCCCCAGUACUUCCU